RNAcentral lists this ribosomal RNA (301 nucleotides) under uncultured bacterium. Its description in RNAcentral is "partial 16S ribosomal RNA". It matches the Rfam family "Archaeal small subunit ribosomal RNA", at positions 459 to 760 of the family's 1478-position model. The record is from RNAcentral.
CAGUCGCCGCGGUAAUACCAGCACCUCGAGUGGUCAGGAGGUUUAUUGGGCCUAAAGCAUCCGUAGCCGGUUGCAUAAGUUUUCGGUUAAAUCUAUGCGCUUAACGUAUAGGCCGCCGAAAAUACUGUGCAGCUAGGGAGUGGGAGAGGUACACGGUACUCGAUAGGAAGGGGUAAAAUCCUUUGAUCUAUUGAUGACCACCUGUGGCGAAGGCGGUGUACCAGAACACGUUCGACGGUGAGGGAUGAAAGCUGGGGGAGCAAACCGGAUUAGAUACCCCUGUAGUCCCUGUCUCUUAUAU